GAAAGCCACUAAUGCAGCCUGUGAUUAAGUCCUUCCCCCUUUGAAUAAGGAGGCUUGUGUAGUGCUGACAUUAAAAGGAUUAAACAGCAAGCCUGCUGAGAAAAAUGCUCAGAGGUAUUAAACCCUAGCAGUGUUGGUUUAACUGCAUGUACUGAAGAAUGAGAUUAGGUCCACGUUUGGAAGGAGAACUAGCUUUGACAGAAGACUAAAAGGGUAAUCAGAGCUGCGGACUGAUGGAGUGGAAAGAGUGCUGGGCAGAGGGCCAGAGUCUCAGAGUUCAAGCUUGUUGCUGUAACAUUCGCCAGCUCUGCAUCCUCAGCAAAGAAAUUGCCCGAGUCUUGGAAUCUCUGGAUGACGGACAUGGCCAAUGCUCCUGGCUUCACAUGAAGACGAAAUCAGACCUUAAAUUUUCAUUCGGCAUUCUGUCUGCAGGUUCCUGAUUAUGAAGCUGGAAAUACAUGUGGAGGAUCCUUGACAUGCCCGCUCUGAGCCAUGCCUCCACUCACGGGCCCUGUUUUGACUUCAGGUUUAAAGUCCAGCUGAGUGACUCUCUGUGUUUUCACCAUGGGGCUGCGUCUUUCUUCAAUAUCCAGCUGAGCAGAAAGAAGCAAUGUCCGUCUCUGCAAUCUGUUCUAGUGCAGACACCCGCGACAGGCGACGUCAUCAACUACUUUAGCGUUUCAAGACAAGAAGAGAGAAACAUCUGGGAAGGAAGAGCAUGACAACAUCAGCCUCUGAGGUUUGCAGCCUAGUGUGUCAGCCAUGAUGACUGCAAUCUCUGCUAAAGUUACCAGAAAUAGAUUUCAACUCACAGUGCAGUUUCUCCAUUAGAGCAUUCCGUUUCUAAUGCUCCAUUACCCAGCAAGUGGAAUGCCACCAGAGAAGGAGGUAGAGUCAGCACCAAGCAUCAAAGAAAGAAGAGCAUCUCCCGUGAGUACACACAAAGAAGGAUUGUAUAGUGCUCACUGCAAGCUAACAGGUCAGAUAAGUGAGUUGACUCAUUACUGAAGUGCGAGUUUGUAAACUUCGACUGUGUGGUGGAGCACAGCAGACAGCAGACCAAAGCAAAUUCACAUUCCAGAACUUCCUCAGCCACAGGCUGGAUCUGCUGCCCUGAAAUGGGUGCUUUCGUUUUCUAGGUUCUGCUUUUCUCUUCUGUAAAGUCGUGUGGCUGAUCUCAAAGGUUCUUUCCAGCUCAGGAUCUCUAUGUUUCUAAGCAAGGAACCACGUGCUUUACUGCAAACUCAAGAGCCAGUCAUAAGGGCAAGACACCUUUCACUCUUACUGUCUGCAAAGUCAUACGGAAACAAAAUGAGUAAAAGUGUUCCUUCUAGAAUAAAGCAGAAAGUGCCCUCAUAUGCCUCUGUGGGGAGCAUGACUGUAUUUUGACUCUUUGGCACAUGUAAUUUUUAAAAAAGUUGGGACUCACAUCAUAAAUAAUGUUGAAUGGAGCUUACCAACAUCCAUACAGAAGUACCUAGCAACUUUUCAUGACUGCACUGGGGGAUUCCUUACAUCAAAGACACAUCGUAUUUAUCUCAACAAAGAUACUGGAUGAGAACUUGAAAUGAAUAUGUUAAGCAAUGAGUAGUUUUCAGUCACAAUCCCUGUAAAAACAAAUUUGGGGAAAUUACCAAGCAACAUAUGUGAGGCCAGAGAGAUGCAUUGCUGACUUCUUUUUGUUUACCUGCUAGUAGAGUAUGUUUUAAAUAUUCAUUAAAUUAUUUAAUAUAGGACUUUGAUUAUUAACCUCCAACAAAUAGCUACAUCUUAAAAAUUAAAAUUACAGCUAAGCUCUGGCCUUCAUGUGGGUCUGGAACAACUGGAAUGGAGGCUAUGCAAAAUCUGUUGCCUGUAUGUGGAAUAUGUUGUACUACCUGGGCUACAUUGUGAGUCCUCUGUGGAAGAAGUGCCUAGCCUCAAAGACAUGAAGUGCCAUUGUUGGAGGUCAGGUAUACCCAGGGGGUCCUACCCACUCAGAAGAG
This 1985-nucleotide small RNA is filed under the name Rattus norvegicus (Norway rat). RNAcentral describes it as "uncharacterized LOC102554773". Lineage: Eukaryota; Metazoa; Chordata; Mammalia; Rodentia; Muridae. The record is from RNAcentral.